This 158-nucleotide ribosomal RNA is filed under the name Penicillium glabrum. Its description in RNAcentral is "5.8S ribosomal RNA". It matches the Rfam family "5.8S ribosomal RNA". From Rfam's summary of the family: 5.8S ribosomal RNA (5.8S rRNA) is a component of the large subunit of the eukaryotic ribosome. It is transcribed by RNA polymerase I as part of the 45S precursor that also contains 18S and 28S rRNA. Functionally, it is thought that 5.8S rRNA may be involved in ribosome translocation. The record is from RNAcentral. Lineage: Eukaryota; Fungi; Ascomycota; Eurotiomycetes; Eurotiales; Aspergillaceae.
AAACUUUCAACAACGGAUCUCUUGGUUCCGGCAUCGAUGAAGAACGCAGCGAAAUGCGAUAACUAAUGUGAAUUGCAGAAUUCAGUGAAUCAUCGAGUCUUUGAACGCACAUUGCGCCCCCUGGUAUUCCGGGGGGCAUGUCUGUCCGAGCGUCAUUG